Molecule: long non-coding RNA, 1122 nt
Organism: Dendroctonus ponderosae (mountain pine beetle)
Lineage: Eukaryota; Metazoa; Arthropoda; Insecta; Coleoptera; Curculionidae
Exons: 3
Source: RefSeq, a predicted model, not a curated record
AUUGAAGGUAACACCACGUAAUUACUCAUGUAAUAUGAUUUUUAUGUGAUAUUCUCUUCCAGCAAUAAUGUUUAAGUGCACAAUCUGCGAUAAAAUGUGCGAUUCAAAAUAACAAUGGCACAGGCAUAAUAAACUCACUCAUAAAUUGUCAGUCAAGUUUUGUUAUGACUGUAAGCAAUGUGAGAAUACAUUUCAAUCUAAAAGAGCUCUUCAAAAACACCUAAUAACAAGUCACAGUGAAAAGAAACUGCGAUGUAAGGAGUGUGGAAAACUUUACAAAUUAUUGAAGACCCUAAAAGCGCACAUUAACAUAAAGAAACAUAAUUGGAUUAAAACAAGAAAGUCAAGACUAAUCUGUCCUUUUAAUAAUAGUUUUAAUUUUGAGACGUAUCAGCGAUUGAGGGAACUUUUGGUAGAAAGUCAUUCGGUGCAAAUAACACCUGAAUAUUACAUAUUUAAUACGGAUGCAGAAUUUGAUUAUUGGAAAAAUUAAGAGAAAAUAAGUCAAUUAUGCUAAAGACAGUAGGUGUAGAACGCUAAAAUCUGGCGCCGUACGAGCUAUUUACAUAUGCCACAGAUCUUAUGCCCCAAGAGAAAAAAACAGUCAAUGGAAAAAACGGUUUAGAAACUUAGAUUCGAACAAAAUUAAUAAGGCCUGUCCUUCUAUUCUAGUUGUCACUAAAACUCCUCAUAAACUACUAGUUCUUUGGUAUCCAGUUCAUAUUGGCCAUUCAAAUGAAUUAGGACAGUUAUCCAUUCCUAGCAUAGACAAACAGCAAAUAGCAAGUAAAUUAUCUCAGGGAGUAUCUGUUAGUCGGAUUCUUAAUGAUAUUAGAGCGGAUAUCUCUGAAGAUGGAACUAAAAUAAUUCACUUAAUAGAGGAACAAGACAUUCAUAAUACAAAAAGGGACUUUUCUAUCGGUUAAGUCACCAAAAGGCAUCAAAAUGAUGCAGUAAGAAGAAAACAGCCCAGUAUUAUUUUAUAAGGAGCAACGAUUAGAAGAUGCAGUUCUCGAUAAAAAUGACUUCGUCCUCAUUAUCAUGACAGAUUUUCAAGCCAACUGUAUAUCAAAAUUUGGAAGUCACAAAAUUUGUAUUGAUGGAACCCAUGGGUUAAAUGCC